This 72-nucleotide transfer RNA is filed under the name Metschnikowia bicuspidata. RNAcentral's name for it is "tRNA-Gly". It matches the Rfam family "tRNA". Rfam says of the family: Transfer RNA (tRNA) molecules are approximately 80 nucleotides in length. Their secondary structure includes four short double-helical elements and three loops (D, anti-codon, and T loops). Further hydrogen bonds mediate the characteristic L-shaped molecular structure. tRNAs have two regions of fundamental functional importance: the anti-codon, which is responsible for specific mRNA codon recognition, and the 3' end, to which the tRNAs corresponding amino acid is attached (by aminoacyl-tRNA synthetases). tRNAs cope with the degeneracy of the genetic code in two manners: having more than one tRNA (with a specific anti-codon) for a particular amino acid; and 'wobble' base-pairing, i.e. permitting non-standard base-pairing at the 3rd anti-codon position. The record is from RNAcentral. Lineage: Eukaryota; Fungi; Ascomycota; Pichiomycetes; Serinales; Metschnikowiaceae.
GUGGCAAUAGGUUAACGGUUAAACUAUAGUACUUCCAAUACUGUUAUACGUGUUCGAUUCACGUUUGCCACA